RNAcentral lists this long non-coding RNA (426 nucleotides) under Bos taurus (domestic cattle). Its description in RNAcentral is "long non-coding RNA NONBTAT008241". The record is from RNAcentral. Lineage: Eukaryota; Metazoa; Chordata; Mammalia; Artiodactyla; Bovidae.
UAAUUAGUUGCUAAACAGUGAAGGCCAAUUAACAGUUGUGCCUCCAGCCAGGACCAUAUCAUCUGAAUUGAGAAACUGUUUCUUCUUUCUGUGAUUCUCCAUAAUCACCAGUAAGAGCCAUCCUCAGAGUCCAAUAUUCAAGACAAGGGACAGGGAAGAGUUGAGAAGAUACUACUUGGAGAUACAGACAGAUGGCCCCACUCUAGACUCUGAAACAGGCUCUGCUUUCAAACAAUGUCUUUAGCUUUCUCUCAUGAUUCAGCCCUUAGACCAGGAGCACUCAUGAAAUAAUUCCAUCAGACUGCAAAAUGCUGCCCUUAAUAGAAAGGCCAAGAUGGGCUUUGGCAUUAGGACUACGUGGUUAGAUCAUUUCUAAAAGAAAAAAAAUGUUGGACUUUGCUGACCAAAUGUCAGGAUUUUUUAACA